This 4930-nucleotide long non-coding RNA is filed under the name Sus scrofa (pig). RNAcentral describes it as "lncRNA (ENSSSCG00025021490.1)". The record is from RNAcentral. Lineage: Eukaryota; Metazoa; Chordata; Mammalia; Artiodactyla; Suidae.
UUCCCAAGCACCUGUGACAAUGCUUGGCAUGUAGUAAGUGUUUAUAUAUAUAUAGUUUCUUUUUUUAAAGACUAUUUUCUUUUCUUUUUUUUUUUUUUGUCUUUUGUCUUUUGUCUUUUGUUGUUGUUGUUGCUAUCUCUUGGGCUGCUUCCGCGGCAUAUGGAGGUACCCAGGCUAGGGGUCGAAUCAGAGCUGCAGCCACCGGCCUACGCCAGAGCCACAGCAACGCGGGAUCCGAGCCGCGUCUGCAACCUACACCACAGCUCACGGCAACGCCGGAUCGUUAACCCACUGAGCAAGGGCAGGGACCGAACCCGCAACCUCAUGGCUCCUAGUCGGAUUCGUUAACCACUGCACCACGACGGGAACUCCAAAGACUAUUUUCUUAAAGAGUAGUUUUAGGUUCAGCAAAAUUACUGCAAGGAAAGUACAAAGAUUUCCCAUACAACUUCUUCCCCCAUAUUUGUAUAUCCACCCCACCACGGUGGUAUGGUUGUUACAACUGAUGAAACUGUAUUGAUACAUCUUAAUUGUCCAAAAUCCAUAAUUUGUAUUAGGGUUCACUUUUGGUGUUGUAUUUUCUGUGGAUUUUGACAAAAGUGUAAUGACAUGUAUCUAUCAUUAUAGUAUCAGACAGAGUGUUUUCUCUGCUCAAAAAACCCUCUCUCUCCACCUACUCAUCUUUCCCCAAACAUUGCCACCCCCUCCAACCUUUGGGAACCACUGAUUUUUUUCUUUUUUACUGUCUCCUUAGUUUUACCUUUUCCAGAACCUCAUAUGGUUGGAAUCAUAUAGUAUGUAGCCUUUUCAGACUAGCUCUUUCACUGAAAAAUAUGGUCUUAAUGUUCUUCUAUGUUUUUUUCACGGCUCGAUAGUUGAUUUCUUUCUAGUACUGAAUAAUAUUCCACUGUCUGAAUGUACCACAGUCUAUGUAUCCAUUCACCUGUUGAAAGACAUCUUGGUAGUUUCCAAGUUUUGUCAAUUAUAAAUAAAGCUGCAACAAACAUCUGCAUGCAGGUUUUUGUGUGGAUUUAAGUUUUCAACACCUUUGUGUAGAUACCAAUGAAUACUCUUACUGGAUCUUAUGGUAAGAGUACGUUUGUUUUGCAGGAAAUCACAAACUGCCUUCCAACAUGGUCAUAACAUUUUGCAUUCCCAUCAGCAAGGAAUGAGAGUUCUUGUCCACCUCCUUGUGAGCAUUGUGUGUGUUGUCAGUGUUCUGGAUUUUGGACAUUCUAAUAGAUCAAUAAAUCUAGUAGAUCUAAUAGGUCAACAAAUAUUGAUGAAUGAAUCUCACCUACAUAAUAGGACUGGUAUGACAAUAACGAAGGAGCUGAGAGCUUUGUUAAGUGCUAUAUAUGUGCAUUAUUCCCAUUAGGAAUGAGAGUACAGCUGCCAUCCUAUUGUCAUCCUAUGGUAAAUAUGGACAUAUCAAGGGGACAGCAUUUCUCUGUUCUAACCCUGUGACUCAUCAGUGGUUUAUCUUCAGAGAGCAGGAAGCCAUGCUUGUCAGUCACCAAUUUUUUAAAAUAAUUUUUUCCCUUCGUAAUGAGUUCACAGUAACUUGCUUCAGUGGGAUGGAAAUAAUUGAUGACAAUUAUUUUAACAAAUAGAUUGUCUUUAACACUGCCUAAUGAAAACUUAGCUGUAUUUUUGCCUAGAUAACAAAGGCUCAAGUUAUCAAAAAGACUGCUGACUCUAAUUAGGUAAGAAUACCAGUACAGCUUCAUGUUGAAAUUUUUCUACCAUAGCUUUGAGUUCAUAAAUAUGAAAAGAGGAAAGGCUAACCACAUGGUUUUUAAUGCAUCAAGAAUUCAAGUAAUAGUUAAAUGUUUAAAAUGUUUUCUGGAGUAGUUACCAUCGCGGUGCAACAGAAAUGAAUUGGACUAGGAACCACGAGGUUGAAGGUUCGAUCCCUGGCCUCACUCAGUGGGUUAAGGAUCUGGCAUUGCCAUGAGAUGUGGUGUAGGUCACCGACUUUGCACAGGUCUGGCAUUGCUGUGGCUAUGGUGUAGGCCAGCAGCUAUAGCUCCGAUUGGACCCCUAGCCUGGCUACCUCCAUAUGCUGUAGGUGUGGCCCUAAAAAAGUAAAAAAUAAAAAUAAAAAAAUAAAGGUUCAGUUGUCUAAGAUCUAUGUUUUCUGAGGUUCAGUUGUCUAAGAUCUAUGUCUAUGAGCUAUAAAAAUAGGAAAUAAGGAGUCCUUGUUGUGGUACGGUGGAAAUGAAUCCAAUUAGGAACAAUGAGGUUGUGGGUUCGAUCCCUGGUCUCAUUCAGUGGGUUAAGGAUCUGCUAAAAAAAAGCCAAAAAAAAAAAAAAAAGAAAAAAAAAAAAAAGAAAAAAGAAAGAAAAAAUAGGAAAAAAAGGUCUAAAUAGUUUUCUCUAAAAGAGUAUAAAAUAGGCUUUAAAUUAAGGUUGACCAAAUUCUUAGAUGUUAAGAUCCUUUUAUCACUGGGUAACUGUUUAAUGGGAAGAACAACUUAUAACAGCUACUAAUAAUUGCAUCUUGGUUUUCAAUUUACUGUUACUUUUAUAUACAUAAGUAUAAUUUAAUCUUUCACUCUUUCAGCCAAGUAUAAUUAUUCUGAUUUUCAGCAAAGGAGACUAAAAUCAGAAUGGUUAAGUGGUUUUCCAGAGUGUGCACAGGAUGGGAUGUUGUGGAGGACAAAUUUAGCCCCUUCCUGAGUGUGUCUUGGAUUCCAAUUAAUAACUCAAAGAGUUGUCUAAAUUAUUGUUGUUUAAACAUUAUUUUGUUGUAUCUGACAUAUUCCUGGAAACAAGUGGGCUGUCAGGGAAGAUUUUUUAAAGAAUACUUUAUACUCAACUAUUUCCUUUUUCUGCUCUUUCCACUAUUUAACUUUUACUUCAACAUUGUCAUUAGUCUUAUGAUUGCUCUUCAAAUUGGCAAAUUUGAUGGUGUCUUUGUCUUUCUCUCUACUAUUUGAAAUUAACAACUCAUCUUAAUUUGAAAUACUUUCCCUUCUCACUGGCAUAAUCCAUCCAUACCUCUGUGGUUAAUUUCAGAGCUUGUUCAGUGGUUCCACAGGCAUUUCCAACUUUACAUGUCUGAAUCCAAACUCAUUUUCCUUCUUGUGUUAAUGAACUUAAUGAUCAGUGCUAUGACCACCCUGGUAGUGUGUGUGUAAUGGUUAAUUUUAAAUGUCACUUUGGCUAUGCUAUUGUGUCCAGCUGUUUGGUCAAAUACUAGUCAUGAUGUUGCUGGAAGGUAUUUUGUAGGUGUCAUUAACAUUUACAAACACUUGACUUUAAAUAAAGCGGAUCAUCCUUUAUAGUGCAGAAUGGGCCUCAUUCAAUCAGUUGAAGACCUUAAGAGUAAAAACUGAUGUUUCCCAGAGAAGAAAGAAUUCUUCUUCAAGGCUAUAAUAUGGAAAGCUUGCAUGAAUUUCCAGCCUUCUGGUCUACCACAUGGAUGUCUGACUCAAGACUGCAACAUCAGUUUUUACCAGUUUCCAGCCUGCUGGCCUGCCCUAUACAUUUCAGAAAUGCCAGAUGCUCACAAUCACAUGAGACAAUUCUUUAAAGUCAAUCAAUCAAUUAAUCAAUUUUAAUCUUUCUCUGCUAUUGGUUUUGUUUCUUGGAGAACAUUGACUAGUAUACUGCCUAAGUCAGAAAUGAAGUAUUUUUCCUAGAUUUGUCUAACUCAUUGAUCUCUUCACCCUAUUAUCCAGUGUGAACUGAAGUUUAGCACUUGCCAUCAGCCUCUACAUGGAGAGUCAGUUAGGUCCAGGCCUAAGCCAGCAGUAAGGAUUUUGGAAUGAGAAUGAAGUUGAUGUUUCUAUGACUCAUCUCUUCUGUCAAUAUAUUGAUGCCUUAGAGCCCUCUAGACCCACUUUGCUGGCCUGAGGCCUUGAUAAUGGUGUUCAGACCCUGGUGUAGAGAUCCAGUCAUGACCCUACUCAGAGGGUCCCUUGUGCCCUGGGAAGAUGGAUGGAAGGCCUGUGUGGGCCCUGGAGGCAGGCUGAGGCCACCUAGGCAGGCUAUUCCGGGGUCCCAGGACCCAUGUGGAGAUUCCACGUGGGUUUGUCCUCUUGGUGCUGUGGAUUCUUUCCCCUGGAGAAGGGGGUGCACACUGCCAAAGGUCAGCAUGGGAGGCCUCGUGCAGGGGACCAGGGUUUAAGGGUGUGGUAUGGUCCCUCUCUUUUUCUUCUCAUAAAUUUGAAAAACAUAAAAAAAUUACAAAGUAUAUAAAACCCCAAUUACCUAUAUUCCCAUCACCCACAAUUAAACCUCUGUCAACACUUGGGCACAUUUGCUUCUCAUCUUUUUUCCUAUGUAGUUAUUAAACACAACUAUACUAGUAAAAUAUGAAAAUAUUACCACUUCUUGGUAAAAUUGUUAAAUGUAAUUUCAAGCUUAAUGGCAAGUUGGAAGAAUAACACAAUGCAUGCCUCUAUAUCUAAUAUCCAGAUAAACCAGUUGCUAAUGUUUUGCCUCAUUUGCUUUAUUGAUCUCUCUUUUUUCUUUCCUCUUCUCUUCCCCUCCCAUCUCUCUCUCUUCCCCUCUCGAUCUUUCUCUCAUUCUAGCUUUCUCUGAUUGUUUUUUUGAGCCACUGAGGAUAAAUUCUAGUCUUUUCUUAUUCCAAAAUUCUCCAUGUGUGUCCACGACAAACAAGGACAUUCCAACAAUCAAAAUCAGGAAAUUUUUGGAGUUCCCAUCAUUGCUCAGUGGUAAUGAACCCAACUAGUAUCCAUGAGAAUACAGGUUCCAUCUCUGGCCUAGCUCAGUUGAGUUAAGUAAGGUUCUGGUGUUGUCAUGAACCAUGGUGUAGGUCACAGACUUGGCUUAGAUCUGGCAUUGCUGUCGCUGUGGCAUGGGCUGGCAGAUACAGCAAUGAUUCUACCCCUAGCCUGGGAACUUCCAUAUGCUGCAAGUGCAGCCCUUUAAAAGACCAAAAAAAAAAAAAAACAAAAAA